This 484-nucleotide ribosomal RNA is filed under the name uncultured soil bacterium. RNAcentral's name for it is "bacterial SSU rRNA". It matches the Rfam family "Bacterial small subunit ribosomal RNA", at positions 26 to 518 of the family's 1533-position model. The record is from RNAcentral.
AGAUUGAACGCUGGCGGCAUGCCUUACACAUGCAAGUCGAACGGUAACGCGGGGCAACCUGGCGACGAGUGGCGAACGGGUGAGUAAUGCAUCGGAACGUGCCCAGUAGUGGGGGAUAGCCCGGCGAAAGCCGGAUUAAUACCGCAUACGACCUAAGGGUGAAAGCGGGGGACCGUAAGGCCUCGCGCUAUUGGAGCGGCCGAUGUCAGAUUAGGUAGUUGGUGGGGUAAAAAGCCUACCAAGCCUACGAUCUGUAGCUGGUCUGAGAGGACGACCAGCCACACUGGGACUGAGACACGGCCCAGACUCCUACGGGAGGCAGCAGUGGGGAAUUUGGACAAUGGGCGCAAGCCUGAUCCAGCCAUGCCGCGUGCGGAAGAAGGCCUUGGUUGUAAACGCUUUGUCAGGAAGAAGUCUUGGCCAAUACCCGAGGAGUGACGGUACCUGGAGAAUAAGCACGGCUAACUACGUCGCCAGCAGCCGC